UCCUGAACAAUUUUAAGUACAAGUGUUGUCAGCUGGAGAAGCUCUCUUUCUCUCCAAGGCUUCACUGGCAGCUGUUGUCACUGUGGUGCAUCUGUAAGGCUCGGAAAUGUGGAUAACAAACUAACUGCACCCAGAAACCUGAACCUAAAGGAUAUGCAGUCAGAGGUGAAAAGAGUGACUGGCGGAUUGUUGAGGAGAGCAGAAAUGAUUGGAAGAUAUCUCACUCUUGCACAUGGCAGCUCAAUGGUUAAUACUACUGCCUGACAGCGUCAGGGACUCGAUUCCACCCUCAGGCAACUGUCAGUGUGCAGUUUGUGCAUUCUCCCUGUGUCUGCGUGGGUUUCCUCCCACAAUCCAAAGGUGUACAAGGCGGUUUCCAGAUUGUCUCGUUUGCUGGAUGGUUGUGGUAUCAGAAUGUCAAGAUUAUCACUUUAACUUCCGACAUCAGAGAGAGCAAUGUUUUGAGAGAUGCAAUACAUACAUUUGGAUUUUGUGAUGAUCUCUUCAGAAUGCAAAACAUUGCCUGGAUUCCUGUCUGAUCAAUUGACUUCCUUAUUGUGAGACACAGGUUAUAAUCAGAAAGUCCAAUUAAUGGAUCACGAUUGAAGUGAAAUCAUUUUAAUAAAAUAAGCAAUGAAUGUGCAAUAAAAAGUUUUCAAACCCUGAAGUAUGUUGCUCUUUGUUGAAUUUUGCGGAUGUACACACAAGAUUAUCCAUUCAUUCUGAAAAUGUUUCACUUCGG
Chiloscyllium plagiosum (whitespotted bambooshark) is the source of this 742-nucleotide non-coding RNA. NCBI's taxonomy places the organism in Eukaryota, Metazoa, Chordata, Chondrichthyes, Orectolobiformes, Hemiscylliidae. The record is from RefSeq and is a predicted model, not a curated record.